UUGCCAGCCCGCUCAAGAAACUCAAAGGAAGUUGACGGGGGCCCGCACAAGCGGUGGAGUAUGUGGUUUAAUUCGAUGCAACGCGAAGAACCUUACCUGGUCUUGACAUCCCGGAGACCCUUAGGAAACUAGGGGGUGCUUCCAUCUGGAAGAAUCUGGAGACAGGUGCUGCAUGGCUGUCGUCAGCUCGUGUCGUGAGAUGUUGGGUUAAGUCCCGCAACGAGCGCAACCCUUGCCUUUAGUUGCCAGCAGUUCGGCUGGGCACUCUAAAGGGACUGCCGGUGUUAAACCGGAGGAAGGUGGGGAUGACGUCAAGUCCUCAUGGCCUUUAUGACCAGGGCUACACACGUACUACAAUGGCCGAUACAAAGGGCAGCGACACUGCGAGGUGAAGCCAAUCCCGUAAAAUCGGUCUCAGUCCGGAUUGGAGUCUGCAACUCGACUCCAUGAAGUUGGAAUCGCUAGUAAUCGUGGAUCAGCAUGCCACGGUGAAUACGUUCCCGGGCCUU
RNAcentral lists this ribosomal RNA (509 nucleotides) under uncultured Desulfobulbus sp. RNAcentral's name for it is "bacterial SSU rRNA". It matches the Rfam family "Bacterial small subunit ribosomal RNA", at positions 903 to 1382 of the family's 1533-position model. The record is from RNAcentral. Lineage: Bacteria; Pseudomonadati; Thermodesulfobacteriota; Desulfobulbia; Desulfobulbales; Desulfobulbaceae.